This 4022-nucleotide long non-coding RNA is filed under the name Homo sapiens (human). RNAcentral describes it as "non-protein coding lnc-MRPL14-1:2". The record is from RNAcentral. Lineage: Eukaryota; Metazoa; Chordata; Mammalia; Primates; Hominidae.
CUGCAUUCUUUUUUUGUUUUUUGAGACGGAGUUUCGCUCUCGUCACCCAGAUUGGAGUGCAAUGGCGCCAUCUCGGGUUCAAGCGAUUCUCCUGCCUCAGCCUCCCAAGUAGCUGGGAUUACGGGCUCCUCCCACCACGCCCAGCUAAUUUUUUGUAUUUUUAGUAGAGACAGGGUUUCACCAUGCUGGCCAGGCUGGUCUCGAACUCCUGACCUCAGGUGAUCCGCCAACCUUGGCCUCCCAAAGUACUGGGAUUUUACAGGCAUGAGCCACCACGCCCAGCUGGACACCCCAUUCUUGGGGUCUGUAAAAAUACUUUCUUGGCCGGGUGUGGUAGCUCAUUCCUGUAAUCCUAGCACUUUGGGAGGCUAAGGAGGGUGGGUCACCUGAGAUCAGGAGUUCGAGACCAGCUGGCCAACAUGGUGAAAACCUGUCUCUACUAAAAAUACAAAAAUUAGCUGGGUGUGGUGGCACACGCCUGUAGUUUCAGCUACUCAGGAGGCUGAGGCAGGAAAAUCGCUUGAACUCGGGAGGCAGAGGUUGCAGUGAGCCAAGAUCGCACCAUUGCACUCCAGCCUGGGCAACAAGAGUGAAACUCCUUCUCAGUCUUGGUUACCUCUGGGGCUUGACGGGCCCUGUCCUGCCCCACCUCUCUCUACAGCCUCUGGCCAUUUAUUUUAGCUGCCCCUCCCCACACACCAGCCUCUCCAGGCCCCUGCAUCACAGUCAUCUUUCUAAAGCACAGUACAGCUCAGCCUGUUGAAGAACCUGCCUUGGCUCCUCGUUGCCCAGAAAUUCAAUGUAGACAUCCUUGGUAGGCAUUCAGGGUCCCUUCUGGUCUGGCCCACCCUGCCUUCCACGCCCAUCUCCCGCCAGUUCUACUCUCAGCAACUCCAUUGCCUCUCAGCUCCCACCAGGCCUCAUGUUCCACAUCCCUGGCCUUGCUCAAGUUAUUCUCCUUGUUUUGAGCGCUCGUCCUCCCCACUUUUCCACCUGGCAAAAUCCUCCUCAUUCUUAGGGACCCAGUUAGUUCCUCCAUGAAGACUUCCCCGGCAAACUGUGUCCCCCCACCCCAGGCUUCUGUCAUAAACCACUUGUCAUUAAUCACUUAACAGUUAUCACAUUUUGUCACAGCCAGCCAGUUCCUGUUCAGUGAGUAGAGGAAAGAAAACAUGGACUUUGUUACCAGACUAUAUGAUGGAAUCUCAGCUUGGCUACUCACCAGCUAUGCGACCCUGGGCAAGUUACUUAACCUCUGAGCUUUGGUUUUCUCAUCUACUAAAUGGGGAUAAUGCUCAUAUUUAACCCGGAUUCCUCACCAGGCCUGCAAAGCCUUGCCUGCCUCCUGUCUCCUGUUGCUCUCCACAUCUCACCCACAUCAACGUCCCUGCCCCUCCUUGAACAUUCUCAGUCCUUUCUUGCGUCCCUGCCUUUGCACCUGCCCUUCUCUACCUGGAAUGUUUCCUUCUCAUUCCAUUCUCCACCUCAUUUCCAAUGUCACCUCCUCAGAGAGGCCCUCUGCAACCACCUUCUCUAAAUCCCCCGCCUGGUUUUGCUUCAUCUUACUUUCUGUUUAUUUUCUUCUAGGGCUUAUCCCAACCUGAAAUUUCCCUACUUUCUGGCUUGCUUGUCAGCUCCGUGAGUGUGGGGCUCUUUUCUCUGGGAACUCAGAAGAUGAACAGACUUGAUACGUGUUAGUCCUGGCCUCUCCUCUUCCUCCAAGCCACACCUGCUCAUCUGUGAGCCCCUUCAGGGCAGGGCAUCAUGUCCUCCUCAUUUUUGCUUUCUUGACCCUGAGCAGUAUGCCUGGUCCAUAGUGAACCCUUAGCCUGUAUUUGCUGCCUGCCUGCCUGUCAUUGUCUUCCCCAACCUUUUCCCUUAGCAGCCCUUGGUGAUCUCCUGAUGGUUUCUAACACAUGCUGCAGGUUACAUGUGGAGCUGAGCCUGAUAUCUCCCAGAGUGGGAAUGUCCAGGGGUGGCCUCAUGUUUCUGCCACUUACUUUGCUUUCCAGCCCAGGACAGGAUUUUGAGUGGAGAGUUUGGGGUAUAUUACUGGCUGUAGCAUUAGGGACCUUGGCCACGCCCUUUGCAUUACCCUGCGUGGUAGGACAAUACCUAGAAUGGUCUGGUCAAACCCGAGAGACUUACAGAAGGUCAAGAGGACACAGCGAUGCUCAUAGGCCCCUCUCAGUGGGGAGAUUGGGCUGUGACUUGUUCAGGCGGAGUGGGGUCCACACAGUCUGAUGAAGCUUCAUUUGGUUCAGAGGAAAAUUGCUCUCUGAACACAGACCAUCCCUUCUUUUUUUUUUUUUUUUUUUUUUUGAGAUGGAGUUUUGCUCUUGUUGCCCAGGUUGGAGUGCAGUGGCAUGAUCUCGGCUCACCACAACCUCUGCCUCCUGGGUUCAAGUGAUUCUCCUGCCUCGGCCUCCCGAGUAGCUGGGAUUACAGGCAUGCGCCACCAUGGCUGGCUAAUUUUUUGUAAUUUUAGUAGAGACGGGGUUUCUCCGUGUUGGUCAGGCUGGUCUUGAACUCCUGAUCUCAGGUGACCCACCCUCCUUGGCCUCCCAAAGUGCUGGGGUUAUAGGUGUGAGCCACUGCGCCCGGACUCCAUCCCUUCUUAAGCUGACCCAGGGGUCUGGUAAUUGAGUGAGUGUGAUGGCUCAAUGUUACCCACCUCCUCUGGCAUCAGGAUGUAGGGACCAGUCCGUUGGUAUGCAGAGGUUGUGGUACCCAGCCUGGCAUCAGCGAUGCUGGGAAGAGGGAAUGCUGUUGCCUGUCUGCUGCUGUGGGAAUGACAGAGAGGGCUGGAAGGAGUGGCCUGGCAGGGAUGGACCCCAGGGCCCGUGCCUUCCUUGUGCUCACUGAGCAAAUGAAGCAGGAUUCACUCCCUGCUGGGAGAGGGAGAUUAGGGUUAGGGAGCACAGUGUUGUGCUCUCAGAUUUGAGGAUUUAUCAAUAAAAAUUCAAAAAGUCAUUUUGGGAACUGGCAUAAAGGUUCGUGGCAUCUUAUUUUGUCAAGUAAGGACACAGGAUAGGUAAAAAAUUAGUUUCCUACUAUUGUAUCCUAAAAAAUGAAUAUUUUAAUACCAAAAAUUGAAAACAAGAAUAGUUCUUCCCUAGAAAGGCCGAACAGCAUUCUUAUGCUGACAUUUUGAGCUAUGGACAGGGGAGAACAAGGUCAGAAACCAGCUCCUGGGAAUUGUUGGGUAAGGAGUUUGGAGAGCGUGUGCGUGUGAAGGGAGAUAGUGUUGAAGCAGGUUGCUGGCCUGGUGGCAUGAUUGGAGGGAAAGGGCCUGAAUAUUUCCUGGAUUAGUCCAGAAUAUUUCCUGGAUUAGUUUAGAAAUUCUUCAGUCCCCUCUAUCACUUAGGCUUCCUGUGGAUUAACUCGUUUUCUCUUUGAAAGUGUAAACAUCCCAUGGGCAGGGUCCAUCAGAGAACCUCGACAAGUGUUGCUCUGUGUACAACCUCCCGGGAGGGUGUCUGUACAGGUGAAAUCUGGCUGGGAUAAAUGUCAAGGACAUGUGUGGGGAAAGGAGAGGGAGGAAAGAAACCAACCCUUGCUGGUCCUUACUGUGUUCCUGCACUACACUUAGGGCUUUUUCAUGAGUUAACAAAGAGCUGCUGCUUAUCUCCAUUUUACAGAUGAGAAAACUGAGGCCCAGAAAGACUCAGUGAUUUGCCCAAGGUCACACAGCCAGUGUUGGAACCAGCAUUUACAUUCAGGCCUAUGUGAACUCAAGUUCAGAGCUUUUAUUUCUCCAGCAGGCCAAGGCACAAAAAAUUUUAAAAACAACUUGAGUCCCAUCUUCCUGUUGGCAUAGUGUCUGGCAGACAUCUUUUUGAUUCGUUCUGUCCAUCUGGAAACACUGUGGCUGACUCUGUGUUGGCAGCUCCCAGGCCCUUGGAGGGGAGGUUCAAAACUCACAUUUUUUUUUAACUUAAGAGAAUUCUGGCAGAGUACACAUAAAAGUUGCCAUUUUAACCAUUUUAAAAUGUUUUAUUUAUUUAGGAGACAGUCUCACU